GAUGAAGAACGCAGCGAAAUGCGAUACGUAAUGUGAAUUGCAGAUUUCAGUGAAUCAUCGAAUCUUUGAACGCACAUUGCGCCCGCCAGUAUUCUGGCGGGCAUGCCUGUUCGAGCGUCAUUUCAACCAUCAAGCGCCUCGCUUGUGUUGGGGCCCUGCGGCUGCCGCAGGCCCCUAAAUCCAGUGGCGGGCUCGUCGUCGUACCGAGUGCAGUAAACAUCCUCGCUCAGGGAACCCGACGGGUGGCGGCCGUGAAACCCCCCCUCCUCAAGGUUGACCUCGGAUCAGGUAGGAAUACCCGCUGAACUUAAGCAUAUCAAUAAGCGGAGGA
RNAcentral lists this unclassified non-coding RNA (331 nucleotides) under soil metagenome. RNAcentral's name for it is "partial contains 5.8S ribosomal RNA, internal transcribed spacer 2, and large subunit ribosomal RNA". The stretch from base 1 to 120 matches the Rfam family "5.8S ribosomal RNA", at positions 35 to 154 of the family's 154-position model. The record is from RNAcentral.